CAAUACGUUUGUAUAGCGGCGAACGGGUGAGGAAUACAUGGGUAACCUACCCUUGAGUGGGGAAUAACUAGCCGAAAGGUUAGCUAAUACCGCGUACGCUCCUUGGACUUCGGUUCAGGGAGGAAAGCGCUACCGUGGGUAGCGCGCUCUUGGAUGGGCUCAUGUCCUAUCAGCUUGUUGGUGAGGUAACGGCUCACCAAGGCUUCGACGGGUAGCUGGUCUGAGAGGACGAUCAGCCACACUGGCACUGCGACACGGGCCAGACUCCUACGGGAGGCAGCAGUAAGGAAUAUUGCGCAAUGGGCGAAAGCCUGACGCAGCGACGCCGCGUGGGGGAUGAAGGUCUUCGGAUUGUAAACCCCUUUCGGGAGGGAAGAUGGAAUGGGGUAACCCAUUCGGACGGUACCUCCAGAAGCAGCCACGGCUAACUUCGUGCCAGCAGCCGCGGUAAUACGAAGGUGGCAAGCGUUAUUCGGAUUUACUGGGCGUACAGGGAGCGUAGGCGGUUCGGUAAGCCCUCUGUGAAAUCUUCAGGCUUAACCUGGAAAAGUCGGAGGGGACUGCUGGGCUAGAGGACGGGAGAGGAGCGCGGAAUUCCCGGUGUAGCGGUGAAAUGCGUAGAGAUCGGGAGGAAGGCCGGUGGCGAAGGCGGCGCUCUGGAACGUUACUGACGCUGAGGCUCGAAAGCGUGGGGAGCAAACAGGAUUAGAUACCC
RNAcentral lists this ribosomal RNA (715 nucleotides) under uncultured bacterium. RNAcentral describes it as "bacterial SSU rRNA". It matches the Rfam family "Bacterial small subunit ribosomal RNA", at positions 80 to 787 of the family's 1533-position model. The record is from RNAcentral.